Molecule: long non-coding RNA, 265 nt
Filed under: Theropithecus gelada (gelada)
Lineage: Eukaryota; Metazoa; Chordata; Mammalia; Primates; Cercopithecidae
Description: lncRNA (ENSTGEG00000025019.1)
Source: RNAcentral
UGGGGAGCAGGCCCAACAGGGCCACUCGUGUGUGGUCCUGCAGGCUCUGCCUCUGGUGUGGAAGAGCUCACGGUGAAGCAUUCCUGCCCAGGACCUGAGGAGCCGGCCACGGUUCAGAAGGCCCCAGCUUGAAGGACCGGAGAGCCGCCCAGCAGCAUGACACAGGCAAGCUUUCGGAGGUGACAUUUGCCCCAGGGAAGGUCACAGCUGCCUGAAGCUUUAAAACUCCCGGACACACACUGCCUGUGCAGGAUCUGGAACCCAG